UCCGAGCGGGACUUCCCGGUGUCCAGACAUUUCAAUUCCGAUUCCCAUUCCCGUUCCGACGUGUCAUCCCAUCCCUUGCCAAGAUGAGGCCAUCCUCAGGGUGCGGGAUCAGCAACUUGUAUUCCGUCUGGGUGCCCCCACCCACCCUGAUGGCAUGGAUAUCGAUUUCCCCUUCCGGUGAACAAAUUUACCUCACACCCCUCCGUCCCACUCCCUCUCAUCCCCUCUGUCUUUGUACGUCCUCUCACCUGCUUAUCACUUCACUCUGGGCCCACUGCUCCAUCCCUUUCUCAAUAUAUUGAAGUGUACCUGUGAGUGUCGAUACUCAAAAUAUCCUCACACGUCAGGUGUUACAUGGUUCGACCUUUAUACAUCCUGUUUAGUGUUUAAAUAUAUAAAAAGUUAAAGAAGCUUGAAUCUUUACAUAAAUUAUUAUCGCAACUAUACGUAUAUAAAACAUUGUAUUUUGGAAGUGACAAAUGUUAACGGGAGGAGAGCAACCAUUUAGGAGGUUUGGAAAUGCAUUUCAUCUCGUUCAUUUCCUCACUAAAUUACUCUUUUUUCCUAUCAACGCAAAGAGAAAAAGAGCCUCUUUUCAAUCAACUACAGUUGGUGGAGCGAGGCCAAGGAGUUAAUCAGCUACUAAUGAUAUGAAAUGACGUAAAACUAGCUUGUAGCCUAGAAUUUUUUUUCCAUUUGGCUUCCAAAACAAAAUUAAAUUUAUCCAGGUGUAGAAGGGGAUUUUGGAUGAUUAGCUUGUGUAUCUGAUCAAAAUCAGGAAGAAGAUGAGCGAGCACUGAAUUUUUCUUUCAUUAUUUUCCACUCUUAAACAUAGGUUUCGAUGUUCAUUCCGUGCUUAUUAUAGCUCCUUCCUGGAAUCCAAUGGUACCCAUUGGAAAGAGCGGAAAAAUGCUCGCAUUUGUGUACAGUUAGACCUGUGGUGAGAGAUUUACUUGAAGAAAAACCCCAACUGGAGGCAAACCACGACUGUAAGAGGAGGGAACAACAACAAGUGAACCAGCCCGAGGAUUGAGAGCAUCAACUGGAGAGAAACCAAUCUGACUCGGAGAUUCCGGUGAUUCAGUCAGGAGAAAGUCUGGUUAAAAUCGACAAGGAAUUUGUCUAUGGGAAUUCAAACACAACACACCAGUUGUGCUGUCUCUGUCUAGAUAUUUAAGGAGCAAGUGAUUCAAUCCGC
Long non-coding RNA from Hypanus sabinus (Atlantic stingray), 1198 nucleotides. RefSeq lists it as uncharacterized. The transcript is spliced from 3 exons. Lineage: Eukaryota; Metazoa; Chordata; Chondrichthyes; Myliobatiformes; Dasyatidae. The record is from RefSeq and is a predicted model, not a curated record.